UGGGCUGAAAGAUUUUGGGAGUUUUGGAGUUUUGGAAAGUAAUUGAGUACAUCCAGCCCAGCAGACACAAUUUUGAGUUUCAACAGGCCUGGUGAGAAGCAGAGCACAGCGGCAGCCUGAGACGCUUCACUGCUCUUUUAAAGAGGAAACCUGUGCAGACUUAUAUCAUGGUUCAAUCUCAGUGUUUCCUCACACGGGAUGGAUGCUCACAGUUCCCGACAAAGAUUCCUCAACACCAGUCAGACCUCCAACGAAGAUCAACUACUCACUCAGGCGGUACAAUCAGCAGCCGCCAUCACAAAAAACCUUCACGGCAGCACAAAGCCGAGCUGAUGCGUCGGCCUGCCAGCAGUGCCUGGGUGGCAGCAGUGAACCCUCCAAUCAGAGUGUGCGAAGUUAAAGCUGGCAGUCUGCAGGCUGUGCAGCAACAUGGACGACAGUCGGAACAGUUCAGAUGGUAUUUGUGAUUUGUCAAUUCAGCGGAAACCUGUUCCGUCUGUCUGUCAACAGCCCGAACGCAAGCAGCCACUCACCAGAGAUGUUAUCAGACGGCGGCAGGAGGACAUCGAGGUGAGAUCUGUGGGAACCAUCACUGAUCUGGACCAUGAGCCAGUUGUGUUUAGAAUCUCAGGGCAGCUGAGUCCACUGCCGUUAUCAGACGGACAUCUUGUGUCGGCACCUCAAGAAGGAAAUCUUUCUGCGUCUUUUAAUUUCACAAGGUUAGCUGUGCCCUGAGGCUGCUCGCCGGAGAAACACUGUGGUUAUCUGUGGUUUUGCAGAAAAGUACUUAGUCAGCAUUCAUUCUGGUGAUUAGGUUUGAUUUAUCCAUAAAGCAGAAGCAUCUCUGUAUAAUUCAAUACGGUUGAAUUGACACCUCUCUUAAACAGUUUCAACAGCGGAAGUUUGCUACGAGCUAGCCUUUCUCUGAUGGUUCACAAUCAUCAGUCGAUCUUUACUGAGUUUGCGGGCCUUCACUUCUACUUUGUAAGUCAAUAUGGCCCAACCCUGGAUUAGACUGUAUACAUUUCAGCUAGGUGUACCUAAUAAACUGGCUUUGAUAAUCAGUUCAUGAGUUCAUAUUAACAGAACAUCUUCCAGACAAAUCCGA
Acanthopagrus latus (yellowfin seabream) is the source of this 1108-nucleotide long non-coding RNA. RefSeq lists it as uncharacterized. The transcript is spliced from 3 exons. NCBI's taxonomy places the organism in Eukaryota, Metazoa, Chordata, Actinopteri, Spariformes, Sparidae. The record is from RefSeq and is a predicted model, not a curated record.